This 253-nucleotide ribosomal RNA is filed under the name uncultured bacterium. Its description in RNAcentral is "partial 16S ribosomal RNA". It matches the Rfam family "Bacterial small subunit ribosomal RNA", at positions 524 to 776 of the family's 1533-position model. The record is from RNAcentral.
UACAGAGGCCUCGAGCGUUAGGCGGAAUCACUGGGCUUAAAGCGUGUGUAGGCGGAUCGUUAAGUACCUUGUGAAAUCCCACGGCUUAACCGUGGAACUGCUUGGUAUACUGGCGGUCUUGAGCAACCUAGGGGCGAGCGGAACAAAUGGUGGAGCGGUGAAAUGCGUAGAUAUCAUUUGGAACGCCAAUGGUGAAAACAGCUCGCUGGGGGUUCGCUGACGCUGAGACACGAAAGCCAGGGGAGCAAACGGG